This 3243-nucleotide long non-coding RNA is filed under the name Canis lupus familiaris (dog). RNAcentral's name for it is "lncRNA (ENSCAFG00845020155.1)". The stretch from base 517 to 792 matches the Rfam family "SOX2 overlapping transcript exon 3". Lineage: Eukaryota; Metazoa; Chordata; Mammalia; Carnivora; Canidae. The record is from RNAcentral.
UAGCUGGGGGAAGACAGUUGACUCAUUUGCUCUCUCCUUUCACACAGUCAGCUGGCCCUCUUCUCAGGUGUAGAUCACCUAUUAUCAUUUCACCUGUUUUGAUUCUCUGAUGAGGAAAAUCCCAGGACUUAUCAGCUGGGAUAGGCCUCAUUUACAAGACAGCUCUGUUCAGUGUCUGGAAGAAAGCCUGACAGGUUUCUCCGGAAAAGUGGCCAUCCAUGGAAUGAAUGAAAUGUUCCCUUUCUAUUCCAUAAUCGCUACCCCCAACAUGGGGCUAGAACCCAUGAUCCCGGAGAUUAAGAGGCGCACACUCUUCGCAUUGAGCCAAGCAGGCUCAUAACAAGAAAAUUUUAAAAGACGCCAUCGAUGAACGCGCCCCUAGGCCUUGUUCCCGGCUCCUCCAACUCUCCUCUUAGUCGUAGAAACACACCUGUCUCUAGAACCAGGUGUCCGCCUUGGCAUAAAACAAAGGCCCGGGGAAUCUGAGAGUUCCCGUUUCCCGCCAGGGGAUUGCAGUGGCAAAGCUAGGCUAGGUCUUGGAGGCUGGUGUAAGGCGAAGCGGGUGAAGGCAGGAGGCUGAUGGAGAGACUGGGGGGAAGAAAAGCCGAAAUGGAUUCACGGUGCCUUGGAUGGAGGACGAGAGGGGAACUGCAAGCUCCUUCAACUCGUUCUGUCCGGUGAGAAGUGAUCAAGCUUGGGCUGACAAGAGGCUCAGGAAGCCCUCACGUUCUUUCGCUUUUUUACCUGCCAAUCAAACUGCUACAAGACAACACCCUGAUCUGGCAUGGACAUCGCGGGUCCAAGCCUGUAGUCCCAAAUCGGAUAUCUCUGCAGCUGAUAACGAGCAAAAGAGAAGCCAGGCAACAGCCAUAUUAAAGAAGAAAACAGUCAACUCUGAGGAUGCCACCCUGAAAGUUUUAUUUUCUCCAGGAAGGUACAGUUGUCUUUGAGAGUCCUAGCCUGUGAACACAGUCUGUAAAUGUGAUCAUCAAGCAAGACGGAGCUGCCAAGAGGGAAGAUUUUGAAUGUUUCUCUCUCCUACAACCCUUCCCAGCGCCCCUCUUCCUUCCGGGGGUGCUUCCCUCUGUUUUCCCCUUUCCCCAGCACUGUUGAAAAUGGCUCCCAAGCAACACCUCGGUAGCUAAACCAAUUGUCCUGGGAAGUUGUUGAGCUGGCAUUUCAUCUGAGUCCUUUGUAAAAAUUAGAUUUUCUUUGAGUAGGGACGAGUGUCCUUUUGCGAGAGGGGACAAGGGAGAGUCCAAGCAGAGGGGGAGGGGAUGAGCAGUUUAUACACAUAUAUACUCUUUGUGUUCAAAGGCCUCCGUGUCUUGGCUUCUCACUAUGUUAAAUCCCUAUUAUAAAACUUAUCUUCACAAAGCCUAUUAUAGUAUUCUGAGAACAAAUUGGACCAUGAAUAACUUAGUUGGAAGUGUAGAUUAUUUUCUGCUCAGGGAAAGUUAGAGAUGACAACAGCUUAACUAAAAGAAUAGUGAUUAAUCUUAAAUAGAUGGAUUUCAAAGUUUCACUCUUGCUAAAGAGUACCUUUGAUAUUUCCCCUCUUCAGACUCAUGUUUCCACUUUCUUUGUAUUAAGAAUUGUCCCAGUGAUUGCACUGUCCACCUAAGACAGCAUGACUCUAACUGUAGACCUUUUUCUUACAGGUUGUUAAUCUGUCAGAGAGGUGAGCAGAAAGACACUCUACUGUUGAUUAAGGAUAUGGUUCCAAAGUGUUACCUGUGCUGAGACAUCAAACUCUCUGUUAGAAAUAAUAUCUGGCAUAAAUCAAAAUUUCUCAAUUAGACAAAAUUAUUUAAAAACUUGUUAAGUUUGUUUAAUGCUCUCCAGCUUACAGAACACUUCUUAGUUCGUAAUUGUGUUUGAUCCUUAGAAGACUGUUAUGAUAUAAACAAAUAGCAUUAAUCUCAUUUUGCCAAGGAGUACACUGAGUCACUUGCAUGCUGUGAUCCAGCUGAUAGCUGGAAGAACUGGGCUACCAACUCAGAUUUUAUAGCUUCUGUUUUAAGUGAUUAACCUAUAGCCAUUGGCAUUUAAAUCCUUUUUGUGUCCUACUCCCUAAAAAUUAAGAUUUUUUUUUUUUUGUAUUAAGGAGCAAAGUUUUUCUAUUUCACAAAUAUAGAAGUUAAAAGACCAGACUGGGAAAAAUUCUAUUCCCUGAAAAGUAAAUGUCAUGAAUUAUGAUUUUGCUUUGUGUGUGUGUGCGCAUGCGCAAGCGUGUGUAUAUGUGUGUUUCAAUAGUCUUUCAGAGAUGAAAGUCUUAAUUUCUAAAAGCCAAAAUGGACAUCCCUAUAUAAAUUAAUAACUGCCUGGAAUUUUUAAAAUGUACUUGAAAACCAUAAAUUGUUUCAAAAUAGAAUAUAAUGACAAAUAAGCCUUUAGAAGCAUGAUCUGCCUAUAAAGUACUUGAGAGCAUGGCACUGAUUAAGUUCUAGGGUGCUAUAAGUGAGGUUCCCCCCCUUUUUUUUCAGUUUCAUUGAGAUAAAUUUGACAAAGUAGUAAGACAUUUAAAGUAUAUUUGAUAAACAUAAACAUUGUAUAAGUAUUCCUCCUGUCUGGUUAAUUAAAACAUCUAUCACUGCACAUGUUUGCCCUUUUUUUUUUUUUUUUUUUUUUUUUUUUGGUGAGAACAUGUAAGUUUUACUCUCUUGACCAAACUCAAUUAUUCAUUGCAGUGUUAUCGAUUAUAGUCACCAUGUUAACCAUUAGAUCCCUAGGCCAUAUUCAUCUGAUAGCUGAAAGUUUCUACCCGUUUAUCAAUCUCUUCCUAACUCCUUUAUUCCUCAACCCCUGUCCUUCUAGUUUUUAUAGACCACUAUCUUUUAACAUUUUAGCAAGUUGGAAGAACAAAGUUGUAUAGGACUACUUUUGUUUCUCUUUGGUUUUUACGAUUCAUAUUUUUUAAAAAGUUUGCAAAGUACUCUAGGAAUAAUAAAUAAAAUGUUUAGUUAACUUGCUAUUGGUGUAAUCGAUCUAAACAAACAGAAAUCAAGAAAUACAAAAGGAUACUGCCAUGUGAUUCUUCUUAGGUUUUUAAUCACAUUGUUUUAAUUACAUAAUGAAGGCAGUGUGGAUGUUAACAUGGAAAUUAUUUGUUUAUUUCUUAAAUUGUAUGCACUUAAAUUAGUCAUUUUAUAUAUACUUAAAUUAAGGUUUUUGUCCUUAAAUUAAGCUGGCAGCCAGACAAAUCCAGUCAAGCUUUUUGGGAUUAGAUAAAAUAAAAAAGUG